UGGGGAAUAUUGGGCAAUGGCCGAAAGGCUGACCCAGCGACGCCGCGUGCGGGAGGAAGCCCUUCGGGGUGUAAACCGCUGUCACCCGGGACGAAUUGCCGGAGUCUGAACAGGGCUUCGGAGUGACGGUACCGGGGGAGGAAGCACCGGCUAACUCUGUGCCAGCAGCCGCGGUAAGACAGAGGGUGCAAGCGUUGUUCGGAAUCACUGGGCGUAAAGCGCGCGCAGGCGGACGGGUAAGUCUGGAGUGAAAUUCCGGGGCUCAACCCCGGAACCGCUUUGGAUACUGCCUGUCUUGAGACCGGUAGAGGCCGGUGGAAUUCCCGGUGUAGCGGUGGAAUGCGUAGAGAUCGGGAAGAACACCAGUGGCGAAGGCGGCCGGCUGGGCCGGUUCUGACGCUGAGGCGCGAAAGCGUGGGGAGCAAACAGG
RNAcentral lists this ribosomal RNA (430 nucleotides) under uncultured bacterium. Its description in RNAcentral is "bacterial SSU rRNA". It matches the Rfam family "Bacterial small subunit ribosomal RNA", at positions 355 to 776 of the family's 1533-position model. The record is from RNAcentral.